UACAGAGGUCUCAAGCGUUGUUCGGAUUCAUUGGGCGUAAAGGGUGCGUAGGUGGCUGUGUAAGUCUAACGUGAAAUCUCGGAGCUCAACUUCGAAAUUGCGUCGGAUACUGCAUGGCUAGAGGAUUGUAGAGGAGAGUGGAAUUCAUGGUGUAGCAGUGAAAUGCGUAGAUAUCAUGAGGAAGACCAGUUGCGAAGGCGACUCUCUGGGCAACUCCUGACACUGAGGCACGAAGGCUAGGGGAGCAAACGGG
This 253-nucleotide ribosomal RNA is filed under the name uncultured Candidatus Xiphinematobacter sp. RNAcentral describes it as "partial 16S ribosomal RNA". It matches the Rfam family "Bacterial small subunit ribosomal RNA", at positions 524 to 776 of the family's 1533-position model. The record is from RNAcentral. Lineage: Bacteria; Pseudomonadati; Verrucomicrobiota; Spartobacteria.